Molecule: ribosomal RNA, 915 nt
Filed under: Triticum aestivum (bread wheat)
Lineage: Eukaryota; Viridiplantae; Streptophyta; Magnoliopsida; Poales; Poaceae
Description: partial small subunit ribosomal RNA
Source: RNAcentral
AUGCGUUCAUUGGCCGAGGUGCCUGUCUUCGCAUGCAAAAAGCUUUUCCCAAUCCGCUCCACGCACUCGCGCCCAAUCCCAUCCUCUCCCGUCCUGCUCCACACUAGCCGCCACACAACCCUAGCCCAUUACCCAUCGAUCCCCACAGCCCCUCCCUCCGCCUCGCUACUGGCCAUGGCCUCCGCCCUAGGAGCCUCUCCGUGGCCUCCUACUCCCCCUACACUACCGUACGUGCACACAGACGACGGUGCCGGAGAAGAGCAGCUCCAGUCAUGGUGGGGUGCGGCUGCGACGGAGAUGAAGGAGGUCCGCCGCCCGCCUUUGUCUCCUUGCUGCUCUUUGUUGCCGAUCCUCCUCUCUCCCUUCACCCCUAGCAGCGCAACAGCUGGGGACAAGGGGAAGGAGCAGGUCGACCCGACCUCAUCUCUAUGCACGAGGACUAGAGGAGCAGGUAGCGAGGGAAACCGGCAUGGCCAGCGGCAGCGCUGCACAGGGACGUCCGCCUCCGGUUUUCUGUCAUGUGUCCCAAUCCCCUUUUGUUUAGGUGUGUUCUUUUUCCUCUUGGCCAGAUCUGCUCACAUGUUUGGGGUUUCAUGCUGUAGGGAUAAGAUUUGGUGCGGGAGUGCCAUUUAUGUGGUGCAGGAGAAUGUCGAUGUUAAAUCAUUUAGUUCUGAUGGAUCAUAUUAUUGGUUCUUUGUUCAACUGAAAAUUUCUUCAGAUAGGACUAAGAUGUUGAUGAUAUUUGAGACGCCCGCUGGAUUCACCCUUUUCGAGGAUCUGAACAAGGGCAAGCUCGACAAGGUCGAGCCUAGACAACACUACAGGUACUAUGCAAUUGCUGACCUAUAUAUCCCAGGACAGGGUAUACAGAUAGCUCCUGACCUUGCCAGAGGUACACGCGCAUUGUACCAAUAA